This 1600-nucleotide ribosomal RNA is filed under the name human gut metagenome. RNAcentral describes it as "bacterial LSU rRNA". It matches the Rfam family "Bacterial large subunit ribosomal RNA", at positions 823 to 2496 of the family's 2925-position model. The record is from RNAcentral.
GAAAUUCCAAUCGAACUCGGAGAUAGCUGGUUCUCCCCGAAAUAGCUUUAGGGCUAGCGUUGUGUUAGUUUACCGGAGGUAGAGCACUGAAUUGGCUAAGGGGCGAUGAGCUUACUGAACCUUAUCAAACUUCGAAUGCCGGAUAAAUGGUGCACAGCAGUCAGACAGUGUGAGAUAAGUUUCAUUGUCAAGAGGGAAACAGCCCAGACCCACAGCUAAGGUCCCAAAUGAACGCUAAGUGGAAAACGAUGUGGGGUUGCAGAAACAACCAGGAUGUUGGCUUAGAAGCAGCCACUCAUUAAAAGAGUGCGUAAUAGCUCACUGGUCGAGUGACUCUGCGCGGAAAAUAUAACGGGGCUAAGCGUAACACCGAAGCUUGGGCUGCACAGCAAUGUGCGGGGUAGGGGAGCGUCGAAUAUGGGGUGAAGUCGCAGCGGAAGCAGCGGUGGACUGUAUUCGAGUGAGAAUGCCGGAAUGAGUAGCGAGAAUUAUGUGGGAAUCAUAAUGGCCGAAAAUCUAAGGUUUCCUGGGGAAGGUUCGUCCGCCCAGGGUAAGCCGGGAGCUAAGGCGAGGCCGAAAGGCGUAGUCGAUGCACAUACGGUUGAAAUUCCGUAGCCACCGAACCUUAAGUACACUGACACAUGGAGAUAGCGGGACCCGGGCGUUGGUUGACCCGGGCGUAAGGGACCGAACUUUAGUAGGGAAGUCCGCGAUGCUCUGUGGCGAGAAAAGGUGUAUGGUAUGCUAAGGUGCCCGUACCGCAAACCGACACAGGUAGAUGAGGAGAGAAUCCUAAGGCCAACGGGAGAAGGGUUGUUAAGGAACUCGGCAAAAUGACCCCGUAACUUCGGGAUAAGGGGAGCCUCCUACGGGAGGCCGCAGCGAAUAGGCCCAAGCGACUGUUUACCAAAAACACAGGUCUCUGCUAAAUCGAAAGAUGACGUAUAGGGGCUGACGCCUGCCCGGUGCUGGAAGGUUAAGAGGAGAUGUUAGCCGCAAGGCGAAGCAUUGAAUCGAAGCCCCAGUAAACGGCGGCCGUAACUAUAACGGUCCUAAGGUAGCGAAAUUCCUUGUCAGGUAAGUUCUGACCCGCACGAAUGGCGUAACGACUUGGGCGCUGUCUCAACAGCCCACCCGGCGAAAUUGUUGUACUGGUGAAGAAGCCAGUUACCCGCAACUAGACGGAAAGACCCCAUGGAGCUUUACUGCAGCUUAAUACUGGAAAUCGGUAAAUCAUGUACAGGAUAGGUGGGAGACUUGGAAGCCAGGGCGUCAGCUUUGGUGGAGUCACCCUUGGGAUACCACCCUUGAUUUGCUGGUUUUCUAACCUGCGGCCGUGAAUCCGGUCGGGGGACACUGUUAGGUGGGCAGUUUGACUGGGGCGGUCGCCUCCUAAAAGGUAACGGAGGCGCUCAAAGGUUCGUUCAGCACGGACGGAAACCGUGCAGUGAGUGUAAACGCAUAAACGAGCCUAACUGCGAGACCGACGGGUCGAGCAGUAACGAAAGUUGGAGUUAGUGAUCCGGCGGUAUGCAAGUGGAAGUGCCGUCGCUCAACGGAUAAAAGCUACCCUGGGGAUAACAGGCUGAUCUCCCCCAAG